UCGCACCCAAUCUUGAACACCAUGCUUGUGUGGUUGAUCUCCUCAGUCGAGCAGGGAAGGUCGAGGAGGAUAUAACCUGUACCGAAAUGUAUUCUUAGUGCCCCAUCUAGAUAUUUUAGGCAUAAUCCUUGAUGCAUGUCGAGCACAUGGUAAUAAGGAACUUGGUGAUGCAAUUGCCAAUGACAUUCGCAUGCUGAGGCCUAUGAAUGCAGGGCAUUAUGUACAACUUUCACAUUGCUAUGCUUGGAUAAACAAGUGGGAAGAAGUGGGUGAGGUAUGGAAUCAUAUGAGAUCUCUUGGAUUGAAGAAAAUUCCUGGCUGGAGUUUCAUUGACAUACAUGGGGCCAUAACUACAUUUUUCACAGAUCACAACUCACACCCCCAAUUUCAAGAAAUACUCUUUACACUAAAAAUUUUGAGGAAGCAAAUGAUCAAAAUGGAGGAACGUUCAUUGUCUAUAUAAUACUAACAUUGUCUAAAAUGAACAAACGAAAGAGAAAGAAAGGUGAACAGGAGCAGCGGAGAGCGUUCAUGGUGUUAAUGUGGACAGUUGGAUUCUGUCUCAUUGGUUACAUUGGCGGCAGACCACUCUAUUGGCAUCUCAAUGAGUCCCUCUCUGCCAUCUCUUCUUGCCCCCUUUGCCAUUGCGAUUGCUCUCGAGCCUCUUCUUUCUCUCCCUGAUGGAUUGAAUAACUCUCAGUUCUUCUCCCUCUAUUACUACUACUAAUAGAAAAAGCUGCAGCUAUCAGAUAAUAAUGCCAUACAAAUUCACUUAUGCAAUCACGGAACACACCAUGAUCAUAGUUAAACACAUGCAAAUAUAUAGCUGUUAUUAACUGCACUCGUUUAUAUUUUUCGUAGAUGUUUUUCCUUAAUCUUUGCAGCACAAUCACCCCAAGUAGAUAAGUAAUUAUUGUUCACCUAUUCAACUUUCUCUUGAAUCAAUAACUUUUUCUUCAAUUGAUUUCUGCUUCGAAGAUAGAUUUAUGAACUACUAAUACACUAUCACCCCCAUCACUCACUGUAAUUAUCACUUUAUAUGUAACUGAUAACUGUACUACACGUGAUAGAUAUGUAUUAGCUAAACGCAGAUAAAAUAUGGUCCUGUUAGAUUGUUACAUCCAAAUUAACUGAUUCAGCCACAGCUACCUAGGAAUAUGUUGUUACUAGGGUCUUCAAAAUCUUUGUGUGGUGUAUGCUAUUCUGUGUAUACCAAGUAUGUGCGAAAGUAGGUCAGUAAUUUGUACGUGGACAUGUCAUGGGGGAGUGUCCACUGCAGAAACAACUUUGUCGCUCAACAAGCGCAUGGCAGCUCCCUUAGAGAAUUUCCUAGACACCAUUCUGUCCUGAACUCCGUCUCAUAAUAUACAUGAUUGAUGCCCUGUUAGAAAGAAGGGGAAAAAAAAAAGAACGAACAAGGCACAGGGUUAAGGAAACAAAAAUGUUUGCACUAUCAAAGUUUUUUCUUUGCAACAACUCGACUUCACACAAGUUGUUCGUCCAAGAAAACUUGAAGAAUUAGCAGAUUUUGAAUAUCGAUUCUAUUUUUAUAAUCCUACUUAAUUCUAUAUCAAAGCUUUGUUUUCCAUGAAUUUAGUUAACUUUGGUGGCUCUAAGUCUCAAGAGUUCAAGGAAUCAGUUACCCACUGCCUUGUAAAUUGCAGAGAAUCAAAAGCAAUUUGGAGAGGAAGCUUACUUCGGCCAUACCUUCAGAUGAACUACUCGGGACACUUCCAUCAAUGGUGGAAGAACCUGAAGACAACCCUCUCUCACCAACCAGAUGCGCGACAGCUGAUGGAGGUAGCAGCGCACUUGUGUGUUGAAAUCUGGAAGGUGAGGAACCUCCUGGUCUUUGAGCAGAAGAGGCAAGCCCUGGUGGAGAUUAUGGCAGCAGCGAUGAGGAGCUAUCAGAACGGUCUGGGGAGUUCCAUGCUCCCUCAACCUUAAGAUCCGUUACUUUCCUCUUCUCUUCUCUUAUUGUGUUUGGUGUAAGAUGGAAGACAGAAAUUGAAACAAGAAUAAAGCUCUAAUUUAAUUUGUACAAAGGGUAAAAUUUGAAUUAAUUAAUUGAAAUGAGAAUAUUUUAGAUAUAAAAUGUUACUCAAAUUUUAGUUUCUACCUCUAAAAAUUUCAGUCUACAGUGACCCCACCUUUUGGAGGUACUGAAAUACUGAAAUUUUGGAGAUAGAGACAGAAAUUUUAGUACCAGUCUUUGAGUCAACAAACAUAAUACUAAGUCUCAGUCUUCUAGUCUCUGUUCUAAUACUUCAAAACAAACGUUACCUUAAUUAUUUGUCAAUUUUAUCCAAUGUUCUGAAAAUCGGACCAGACUGGCCGGUUCAACCGAAUUAACCGAAAACUGGUCACUAGUCGGUCCGGUCCACCUACAAAACCGCACUUCAAAAAACUGGCAAAAAAAUCGGCUAAACCGGUGGUUAAUCGGCAAACUGGGCGAACCAGUUCUUCCCCCCAGCCAGCAAAACAGCGUUGUUUGGCUUUAUAAAAAAGAAAAAAAAAGAAAGAAAAUGAAGGCUGAAGAGUGAAGAACGCGUGUUGCAGGCUUACCCCAAAUCCCUAAUAAGCUAAUCUCUUCGAAGAAGUGAAGAACACCCCCACUCCCAACCCUAAGCUCUUCCAGGCUCGAGCUUCUGCCCACGAAGGACAACCGCCGUCGUGAUUCGAAGCAGACGCUGGAGCAAGCGCCACUGUUGCGGGUCGUUGCCUCAGCGUCGUGGGUCGUCGCCUCAACGUCGCGGGUCGUUCUGUUCUCUACUUCGAGGCUCGAGCUUCUGGCCUUCUGUUCUCUACUUCUCUUGCGGUUAGUUAUGGGCUUCUGGCUCUUCUAUUCUUGUGUUUUCAUAUUUUGUUCUGUCUUUUCUCGUCGCGGGUCGUUCUGUUCUCUUCUUCUAUUCUUUCUGUUUUCAUUGUUUGUUCUGGAUUUCUGUUCUUCUGUUCUUGUGUUUUUAAAUUUUUAAAUUUUGUUUAUUAUAUGAUUAAUCAAAUGUUGAAUAAAUUUAAUGUAUGUUGAAUUUGAGAAUUCUGCUUUGCUCUGUUCUUCAAUUCUUUUAUGAAAUUCAAUUCUGCUCUGUUCAAUUUUUUUUAUUUUUUCAAUUCUGCUCUGUUGAAUGCCAUAUGAAUUGUGUGAAAUAUGAACUAUGAAUUGAUAUAUUGGUCUGGAUUCUGGAUUGCUGGCAUUCUGAGUUGGGGUUGAUGGUUGAUUUUAACGGUGGU
Arachis ipaensis is the source of this 3231-nucleotide non-coding RNA. NCBI's taxonomy places the organism in Eukaryota, Viridiplantae, Streptophyta, Magnoliopsida, Fabales, Fabaceae. The record is from RefSeq and is a predicted model, not a curated record.